Molecule: ribosomal RNA, 492 nt
Filed under: uncultured bacterium
Lineage: Bacteria
Description: partial 16S ribosomal RNA
Rfam family: Bacterial small subunit ribosomal RNA
Source: RNAcentral
AUUGAACGCUGGCGGCAUGCUUUACACAUGCAAGUCGAGCGGUAACAGGCCUUCGGGUGCUGACGAGUGGCGCACGGGUGAGUAAUGCAUCGGAACGUACCCAGAGGUGGGGGAUAACGCAGCGAAAGCUGUGCUAAUACCGCAUGUGAUCUGAGGAUGAAAGCGGGGGACCGAGCAGCAAUGUUUGGCCUCGCGCCUUUGGAGCGGCCGAUGUCGGAUUAGCUAGUUGGUGGGGUAAAGGCCUACCAAGGCGACGAUCCGUAGCUGGUCUGAGAGGACGAUCAGCCACACUGGGACUGAGACACGGCCCAGACUCCUACGGGAGGCAGCAGUGGGGAAUUUUGGACAAUGGGCGCAAGCCUGAUCCAGCAAUGCCGCGUGCGGGAAGAAGGCCUUCGGGUUGUAAACCGCUUUUGGCAGGAACGAAACGGUGUCCGCUAAUACCGGGCGCUAAUGACGGUACCUGCAGAAUAAGCACCGGCUAACUACGUG